UUUCACCUGCAGCAGGGGAAAGAGAUGAGGAAGAUGGGUUAAUGUGCUUCUGAGAAGAAGAUCCUCCAGGAGGAACGUUUACAGAAGAAGAAUGUUGCACAGCACAGCGACAAUAAAAUGAUGAGCUGUGACACCCCUUUGCCUCAUGAGACUCUACAACUCUGACUCCUGAGGUAGUUUUCAUUUUCUGAGGGAUGCUUCUCUUCCUUUUCUUUCCUUUGCUGAUAAAUACACACGCAUACCAGCUGGUUACCUGCUCUUCCCAUGCUGUUGUCAAGGACGGCAACCUGCCCUGGACAUCUCUUCCUAAAUAAGUUAUUGCCAAGGAUCUGCACAUGAGGACAAUACCUGAUAACUGACGGGUUAAGCAGUCCCAGGGAGUAGGCGCAUCUCAUGUAGGGCUAGGGGACCAGGGGUGAGGGUGCACUGGAGGUCAGUGUGGUGGCGUAUCGGCCCUCCAUCACAAUUUGGCUGGCCAAAAUUACCUGGGCAGUUCUGUCCUCUCCUCUCUGUCAGCUGUCACAAAGGGACCCAUCCCCUCAGGCUUCACUAGACACAUCCCACACUCGGACAGUGAUCAACAGGGGAAGCUUUCAAGCCAGAAAUUCAGUUCCUGAAUUAAAUGAGACAGCUCCGCCCAUGGUUGGUCAAGUGUCUUGGAGAGUGCAACCUGUGCCUUUGUCGGCCUUGUAAACUGCUGGCCUGGCUAUUUAAGCUAAAAAUAAUUCUUUCAUUGAGCAUUUUUCUCCCACAGUUUUCUUUUCAGGACUUGGCACCAAAUAAAGUAGCUUAAG
This is a long non-coding RNA of Oxyura jamaicensis (ruddy duck), 794 nucleotides long. RefSeq lists it as uncharacterized. The transcript has 2 exons. NCBI's taxonomy places the organism in Eukaryota, Metazoa, Chordata, Aves, Anseriformes, Anatidae. The record is from RefSeq and is a predicted model, not a curated record.